UCUCCGUUGGUGAACCAGCGGAGGGAUCAUUACAGAGUUGCAAAACUCCCAAACCAUUGUGAACGCUACCUAUCCCGUUGCUUCGGCGGGCGGCCCGGGCCCCGCGCCCGGCGCCCCCCGGCCCCCCGUGGGCGCCCGCCGGAGGUAAACCAAACCCUUGAAUUGCAUGGCCUCUCUGAGUCUUCCGUACUGAAUAAGUCGAAACUUUCAACAACGGAUCUCUUGGUUCUG
RNAcentral lists this unclassified non-coding RNA (231 nucleotides) under plant metagenome. Its description in RNAcentral is "partial contains small subunit ribosomal RNA, internal transcribed spacer 1, and 5.8S ribosomal RNA". The record is from RNAcentral.